RNAcentral lists this ribosomal RNA (782 nucleotides) under uncultured Neocallimastigales. RNAcentral's name for it is "partial large subunit ribosomal RNA". It matches the Rfam family "Eukaryotic large subunit ribosomal RNA", at positions 23 to 639 of the family's 3401-position model. Lineage: Eukaryota; Fungi; Neocallimastigomycota; Neocallimastigomycetes; Neocallimastigales. The record is from RNAcentral.
UGAGACUCUGUGCGCGUGCAUAUCAAUAAGCGGAGGAAAAGAAACUAACAAGGAUUCCCCUAGUAACGGCGAGUGAAGCGGGAAGAGCUCAAAUUUGAAAUCUUAAAGGGUUUCCCUUUACGAAUUGUAGUUUAAAGAAGUGUCUUCUGUUGGAGUUUCGGUAAAAGUUCUUUGGAAUAGGACAUCAUAGAGGGUGAGAAUCCCGUAUUUGACCGUUACUUUCCAGCUGUGUGAUACACUUUCAAAGAGUCGGAUUGUUUGGGAAUGCAGUCCAAGAUGGGUGGUAAAUCUCAUCUAAAGCUAAAUAUUGGCGAGAGACCGAUAGCGAACAAGUACCGUGAGGGAAAGAUGAAAAGAACUUUGAAAAGAGAGUUAAACAGUACGUGAAAUUGUCAAAAGGGAAGCGUUUGACACCAGUGUUGUUUAGUUGAAAAUCAAUUCAAUAGUUUUUGAUUCUAAGUAGUAUUGACUUCAUCAGCUUGCUGCUUUCUUCUCAGAAAUUAUUGAAUGCACUUCUCAGUUAACAAGUCAACAUCAAUUUCUUUUGUUGUAAAAGGGUAAGAGGAAGGUGGCUUACGCUUCGGCGUCAAGUGUUUAUAGCCUUUUAUCCUCUGCAAUCGGAGAGAUUGAGGUACAUGCAGCGUAGACUCCUUCGGGGUUAGAUACACUUGUGCUAAGCUAUAGCCUUGUAUAGACAACUUGUUGACUAUGCUCAGUCAUGUAGCUUACUCGCCUGAUGCUAUUUUACCUACGCUUAGGAUGUUGAAGAUGUAGCACAUCAU